GGAGCUGCAGCUCAGUGGCAGAGUGCUUGCCUAGCAUGCAUGAGGCAGUGGGUUCGAUCCUCAGCACCA
Molecule: transfer RNA, 69 nt
Filed under: Marmota marmota marmota (Alpine marmot)
Lineage: Eukaryota; Metazoa; Chordata; Mammalia; Rodentia; Sciuridae
Also listed under: 1 other name
Rfam family: tRNA
About the family: Transfer RNA (tRNA) molecules are approximately 80 nucleotides in length.
Source: Rfam by way of RNAcentral